CCCACUAGCAGCAGACAAGAGGGUCGACUGCGCGAGCACUCCCAGUGAGGGAGCGCGGAAAACUGCGGUUGCGCAGACUAAAGUGCGCUCAGAGAGACGCAGGCCGAGCUACAGUGUGUCACCCACCCAGUAGGCAGGUCUUGGAGUUAAGUCAACAGGAGAAGAGUCGAGUGAGGUCACAGAUGAGAUUUCUGUGGAUUUAAUUCAUCGAGGGUAUGGCGUGCCCUUGGUGUUUCAGCAACCAAGAAUGGUACUCUUUCAGGAUGGGGCCGAG
Long non-coding RNA from Hipposideros armiger (great roundleaf bat), 274 nucleotides. RefSeq lists it as uncharacterized. Lineage: Eukaryota; Metazoa; Chordata; Mammalia; Chiroptera; Hipposideridae. The transcript is spliced from 3 exons. The record is from RefSeq and is a predicted model, not a curated record.